AAAUUUGAAAUCUGGCACUUUCAGUGUCCGAGUUGUAAUUUGAAGAAGGUAUCUUUGGGUCUGGCUCUUGUCUAUGUUUCUUGGAACAGAACGUCACAGAGGGUGAGAAUCCCGUGCGAUGAGAUGACCCAGACCUAUGUAAAGUUCCUUCGAAGAGUCGAGUUGUUUGGGAAUGCAGCUCUAAGUGGGUGGUAAAUUCCAUCUAAAGCUAAAUAUUGGCGAGAGACCGAUAGCGAACAAGUACAGUGAUGGAAAGAUGAAAAGAACUUUGAAAAGAGAGUGAAAAAGUACGUGAAAUUGUUGAAAGGGAAGGGCUUGAGAUCAGACUUGGUAUUUUGUAUGUUACUCUUUCGGGGGUGGCCUCUACAGUUUACCGGGCCAGCAUCAGUUUGGGCGGUAGGAGAAUUGCAAAGAAAUGUGGCACUGCCUCGGUAGUGUGUUAUAGUCUUUGUCGAUACUGCCAGCCUAGACUGAGGACUGCGGCUUCGGCCUAGGAUGUUGGCAUAAUGAUCUUAAGUCGCCCU
Molecule: ribosomal RNA, 524 nt
Filed under: Lodderomyces parapsilosis
Lineage: Eukaryota; Fungi; Ascomycota; Pichiomycetes; Serinales; Debaryomycetaceae
Description: eukaryotic LSU rRNA
Rfam family: Eukaryotic large subunit ribosomal RNA
Source: RNAcentral